Molecule: long non-coding RNA, 1088 nt
Filed under: Phoenix dactylifera (date palm)
Lineage: Eukaryota; Viridiplantae; Streptophyta; Magnoliopsida; Arecales; Arecaceae
Description: long non-coding RNA (PDAC_LNC008761)
Source: RNAcentral
UAGUUGCCAAAAUCCAAGCACACUUAGCGUAGCCUAACAUUUAGGGACUCAUAUACCCCGUGAUCAAAAUCCUAACUAGGGAUUUCUGUCCAAAAGAAAAGCCUAAAUAGGAUUCAUCAUGGUUACAUUGGAUGCAUGGUUCGAACUCCAAAGUUGAUGCUCUAUAAGGGUCGAAGGCCUUGAUUAUAGUAGUAAACAUUGUCAGCCUUUCAUCGAGAGAGAAGACGGAGAAAAGGUAAACCGAAGAGAGGGGGGCAGGAUGGUGCAGGUAUCCCACCAGGCCAGAGACAAAAUUAGAGAGAGUUGAAUAGGCCGUGAUGUGAUUCUAGAGUCGAAUUUAUUAUCCCAAGAGAUGCAGAGAUCGUAAAAGCAUAAGAUCCGCAGCCUUGUCAAUCCAUGUGCAUAAUCCUUGAAGACUUUCUUGGCCUCCAAUCUUGAGCUACUAUGAGCCACGGGGAUCCUUCAGCCAACAAUACGUCUAUUACUUAAAAUGCCUCUCUCCUCCUCUCUUUUUCUUGAGUAGGGAAAUUGAAACAUAAAAAUUGAUGAAAUUAAUAAUGGGUCCAGAAGCUUCAACUGGAACAUUUAUUUUUUUUUGAAAUUUGAUUGAAAUACAUUAGUAGGAAAAUUUUCAUAAUGGGUCCAGAAGCUUCAACUGGAACAUUUUUUUUUUUUUUUUGAAAUUUGAUUGAAACAUCAUAACUCUAUAAAACUUGCUUAAGCUGUCUAGCAAUCCUAUGAAAAUUUGUUAUACACGUUUUAUCUUCACCCUCCCUUUUUAUUAUAAAAACUCUAGCACUCAACUGAAUUGAACAUAAGUAUAUUGAUCAAGAUUCAUGUUUGUUGAAAUGCAUUUUCUAGAAUAUACAUUGCAUCACUCUCAUUGCCAACUAAAAUAUGGAAUAAAUUUACUAAAUGGAAGGUAGUUAAGUUAAAAAAUUGCAUGCAGUAUUAAACAAUGAAAAAAAACCUUUGACAUCACCUUUAAUUCCAUCCUCUUGCUUCAACACCUCCAACCACCAAAACUCACAAUUACUCAAUAUGUUUUUAAUUUUAAGCCGUUGGUAUAUCUAAUGUUUAGCCCAUCA